RNAcentral lists this ribosomal RNA (405 nucleotides) under uncultured bacterium. RNAcentral describes it as "bacterial SSU rRNA". It matches the Rfam family "Bacterial small subunit ribosomal RNA", at positions 355 to 776 of the family's 1533-position model. The record is from RNAcentral.
UGGGGAAUAUUGCGCAAUGGGGGAAACCCUGACGCAGCAACGCCGCGUGAAGGAUGAAGGUCUUCGGAUUGUAAACUUUUGUCUUAUGGGACGAACAAGGACGGUACCAUAGGAGGAAGCCACGGCUAACUACGUGCCAGCAGCCGCGGUAAUACGUAGGUGGCAAGCGUUGUCCGGAUUUACUGGGUGUAAAGGGCGUGUAGGCGGGUAAGCAAGUCAGAUGUGAAAUACCGAGGCUUAACUUCGGGGCUGCAUUUGAAACUACUUAUCUUGAGUAUCGGAGAGGAAAGCGGAAUUCCCAGUGUAGCGGUGAAAUGCGUAGAUAUUGGGAGGAACACCGGUGGCGAAGGCGGCUUUCUGGACGACAACUGACGCUGAGGCGCGAAAGCGUGGGUAGCAAACAGG